Molecule: long non-coding RNA, 577 nt
Organism: Gorilla gorilla gorilla (western lowland gorilla)
Lineage: Eukaryota; Metazoa; Chordata; Mammalia; Primates; Hominidae
Exons: 4
Source: RefSeq, a predicted model, not a curated record
GCCGCGUCAAAUAGGCUAGGCUGUAAUAUUAGGUAAAAUCUAAUUUCAGUUUGGUUAUCACAUAGCGUUCAUUUCCCUAAGGGAGGAGAAAAAAUUAAAUUUGUAAGCUUAAGAUUCCAGCUGAAGUACUCAAGAAUCCUGUUUCUCUGACAGAGGAAAGGAACAACAACUUGACUGGACACAUCCUAACCCAACCAUACGCUGUGUUACUUCCUCCACUGCGCCACACACAGCUAUUAUUCUAAGCUUUCUUAUUCAAACCCUUAAGGAUUUGUAAGGGGAACACUGAGAAGAAGAUGGGCAGAAAUCAAAGCUUCCUGGUGUGAGGUUGUGGUAGAAGAUUCCUGGUUGAUCAAUGUAUAGAAGAUGGAAAUGGAUUCCAGUUGUGGGAAGGAAGAAAUCAUUGCUGCAGUCUCAGUCUGCUCUGCAGGAAUAGACCAUCUGAGGACACAGCAGGAAGGUGGCCAUCUGCAAUUCAAGGAGAGAAGCCUCGGGAGAAAAUAAACCUGCCGGCACCUUGAUCUUGGACUUUUAGCCCCCAGAGCUGUGAGAAAAUAAAUGUUUGUUGUUUAAGCCA